RNAcentral lists this non-coding RNA (29 nucleotides) under Mus musculus (house mouse). The record is from RNAcentral. Lineage: Eukaryota; Metazoa; Chordata; Mammalia; Rodentia; Muridae.
CUCGAACUCAGAGAGAUCCGCCUGCCUGC